CUGUGUGUGUGGCCAGAGACAAAAAUGGGAAGAUGAAAGGGAAAGAGUCAGCUUGAGCUUGAAAAGCCAUUGAUCAAGAAGCCAACCUGGUGUGUUCUCCAGAUGCCUCAUGCCUCCUCUCUCCUCCACAUCCACUGCCCUCACCUGAUGGCUCCAACCAGCUUCCUCUCAGUGGCUCGAUCCAGGCAUGGCUCAAGAACUCUUAGCAGCUGCCUGCUGAACCAUGAAGAAACUUAAAAUAGCGAUGAUCUCCCUUCCACGCUGCCUCUUCCCCCAAUAGAACCCGCAAGCCAAUCGGUGGUGUUUAUACUUGAGGCCAUAUGAAGCUAAUCUGUAUGGAAAUAAAGGAUAGAAAUAUUCAGAUUGAGUUUUACUAAGUGAACCUGAGGUUUUUCUGUUUAGCAAAAUAGGCCAGGUAAAUGCGUUUCUGAUACAGAAUAAAUCACUUGUUUGAAGACCUAUAUUCCCUUUUGCCAUUUUGCUUAGAAGUGGAGAAUUCACAGUCCUCUGCAGAAACUGUGAAAUGCACAAGUCCCUUCUCUCCCCUCUCCUCCUCCAUCUGCUCCUCCCCACUAGGUAGUUCCCCGAGCUGAACUCAUCUUCCCAUUAGGGUCUGAGAGCCCUACUCUCCCAGCCUAGGUCUGGAGGUGCCUAGGCUCUUUGCAAAG
Molecule: long non-coding RNA, 668 nt
Organism: Ailuropoda melanoleuca (giant panda)
Lineage: Eukaryota; Metazoa; Chordata; Mammalia; Carnivora; Ursidae
Exons: 3
Source: RefSeq, a predicted model, not a curated record